UACAGAGGGGGCUAGCAUUAUUCGGAAUUACUGGGCAUAAAGCGCACGUAGGCAGAUCGGAAAGUUGGGGGUGAAAUCCCAGGGCUCAACCCUGGAACUGCCUUCAAAACUCCCGGUCUGGAGUUCGAGAGAGGUAAGUGGAAUUCCGAGUAUAGAGGUGAAAUUCGUAGAUAUUCGGAGGAACACCAGUAGCGAAAGCAGCUUACUGGCUCGAUACUGACGCUGAGGUGCGAAAGCGUGGGGAGCAAACAGG
Molecule: ribosomal RNA, 253 nt
Filed under: uncultured bacterium
Lineage: Bacteria
Description: partial 16S ribosomal RNA
Rfam family: Bacterial small subunit ribosomal RNA
Source: RNAcentral